RNAcentral lists this ribosomal RNA (763 nucleotides) under Bacillus pumilus. RNAcentral's name for it is "bacterial SSU rRNA". It matches the Rfam family "Bacterial small subunit ribosomal RNA", at positions 51 to 795 of the family's 1533-position model. Lineage: Bacteria; Bacillati; Bacillota; Bacilli; Caryophanales; Bacillaceae. The record is from RNAcentral.
AUACAUGCCAGUCGAGCGGACAGAAGGGAGCUUGCUCCCGGAUGUUAGCGGCGGACGGGUGAGUAACACGUGGGUAACCUGCCUGUAAGACUGGGAUAACUCCGGGAAACCGGAGCUAAUACCGGAUAGUUCCUUGAACCGCAUGGUUCAAGGAUGAAAGACGGUUUCGGCUGUCACUUACAGAUGGACCCGCGGCGCAUUAGCUAGUUGGUGAGGUAACGGCUCACCAAGGCGACGAUGCGUAGCCGACCUGAGAGGGUGAUCGGCCACACUGGGACUGAGACACGGCCCAGACUCCUACGGGAGGCAGCAGUAGGGAAUCUUCCGCAAUGGACGAAAGUCUGACGGAGCAACGCCGCGUGAGUGAUGAAGGUUUUCGGAUCGUAAAGCUCUGUUGUUAGGGAAGAACAAGUGCAAGAGUAACUGCUUGCACCUUGACGGUACCUAACCAGAAAGCCACGGCUAACUACGUGCCAGCAGCCGCGGUAAUACGUAGGUGGCAAGCGUUGUCCGGAAUUAUUGGGCGUAAAGGGCUCGCAGGCGGUUUCUUAAGUCUGAUGUGAAAGCCCCCGGCUCAACCGGGGAGGGUCAUUGGAAACUGGGAAACUUGAGUGCAGAAGAGGAGAGUGGAAUUCCACGUGUAGCGGUGAAAUGCGUAGAGAUGUGGAGGAACACCAGUGGCGAAGGCGACUCUCUGGUCUGUAACUGACGCUGAGGAGCGAAAGCGUGGGGAGCGAACAGGAUUAGAUACUUUGGUUUAUUC